RNAcentral lists this long non-coding RNA (1610 nucleotides) under Canis lupus familiaris (dog). Its description in RNAcentral is "lncRNA (ENSCAFG00845001193.1)". The record is from RNAcentral. Lineage: Eukaryota; Metazoa; Chordata; Mammalia; Carnivora; Canidae.
CUUUAAUCUCUUCAUCCAACAUGGGGCUCAAACUCCUGGCCUCAAGAUGAGGAGUCACACACUCCACUGGCCGAGCCAGACAGGCACCCCAGUAAUUUUAUUUUUUGAGAAGGUCGGAAUAGGAUAAGUAGGUACUUCUGGUGUCAGUUCGGCAUAUAAGAAACUGGAGUGACGGGGUUCCUGGUUGGCUCAGUCACUUGAGUGUCUGCCUUUGGCUCAGGUCAUGAUUCCAGUGUCCUGGGAUUAAACCCCACAUCAGGCUCCCUGGGAGCCUGCUUCUCCCUCUGCUUGCUGCUCCCCCUGCUUGUGCUUGCUCUCUCUUUUAAAUAAAUAAAAAUCUAAAAAAAAAAAAAAAAAGAAAGAAACUGGAAGUGGCCACUCCAUUCUAACAACAAAGAAAAAGCUGAACAAGUUGAAAAGAGAAUUCUUGGAUUCUAAAAAGAAGUGUGGUCACAAGGGAAAGCCACUGUCCCCAAAUUGACACCAGCAAAUACAGAGAAUCACAACUUACUGAAGCAGAAACACACAUGUGAAAACAAGUGGGAGCCAGUGCCAGGGUAGGGAAACAGAACUAUAUGUCACAAAUUGCUGAAAUCUUCAUGGGGACAAAUCUGAGACACAAAAAACUCCAGGGGAACCCACUUCUGUGGACAGCUCCCACACAUUUAUAGAGUUUUACCUCUUAAAUGUCUCAGUGGUUCUCACAGCGAAUAUCCCAUGAAAUUCUGUGAUCUGUGACAGAAAAAUCCAGGCCUGCUUCCAGGUGGAGAAAGGAAAAGAAACCAUUUCUUUUUAAUCUUACCUGUUUUUUUGUUUUGUUUUUUUAUUUUUUUUUAAAUUUAUUUAUGAUAGUUACACAGAGAGAGAGGCAGAGACACAGGCAGAGGGAGAAGCAGGCUCCAUGCACCGGGAGCCCGACGUGGGAUUCGAUCCCGGGUCUCCAGGAUCGCGCCCUGGGCCAAAGGCAGGCGCUGAACCGCUGCACCACCCAGGGAUCCCCAAUCUUACCUGUUUUUUAUUUUUUUUUUAUCUAAAUAAGGUCUACUCCCAACCUGGGGCUUGAAGCCAGAAUCCUGAGAUUAGGAGCCACAUGCUCUACAGACUGAACCAUCCAAACUCCCCCAAAGAAACCAUUUUCAAAUACCCUAUAGCACUGUUCUCUACAAAGUCUCCCUGCGGAAAACACUACCUGUUUUGAUGUAAGACUAAUUAACGCUCACAGACUGAGUUGGUCUUUGCCAGCAGUUUAUUUAACAUAGGUUCAUAGUGGGAAUUUCACAAGCUAAUAGCAUUCAUGAUAAUCUCUUAAUAAGCCAAUAAGGAAAAUAGUAUCCAAAUCAAUGAUACAUUAAACAUACUAUUGUAGCAGGCGUAAGAAGAUGAAUAAAGUUUAAACUUAGUUGAGACAAAAUUUUUGAGUUGGUAUUCUGGAGAGACAGUUCAGCCAACCCUUACCUGAUGUCCAGCUGUCAGCACAAAAGUAAAAGUCCCCUGUUGCCAGAACAAGUUCCUAGGGAACAAUGAUGCCAGUGUCAGUGGGGAACAGGAUCUCUGUCUGGGCCACUGGAUGUUUCCCCCACUGCUGGUAGAAGAGUUGCCUUUACCACAGC